Leptonychotes weddellii (Weddell seal) is the source of this 956-nucleotide non-coding RNA. The record is from RefSeq and is a predicted model, not a curated record. NCBI's taxonomy places the organism in Eukaryota, Metazoa, Chordata, Mammalia, Carnivora, Phocidae.
CUUCCGCGUUGGGAGCCGGCGGCGGAUCCCGGGACGCCGAGACCCGGGGUCCCGGCAGCGGGGCGGCCCCCGGGCCCAGGGCGGGGAUGCAUCGCCGCGGGGUGAGAGCCGGCGCCAUCACCAAGAAGAAGCUAGCCGAGGCCAAGUAUAAGGAGCGAGGCACUGUCUUGGCUGAGGACCAGCUGGCCCAGAUGUCGAAGCAGUUGGACAUGUUCAAGAGCAACCUGGAGGAAUUUGCCAGCAAGCACAAGCAGGAGAUCCGGAAGAAUCCCGAGUUCCGGGUGCAGUUCCAGGACAUGUGUGCCACCAUUGGGGUGGACCCUCUGGCCUCUGGAAAAGGAUUUUGGUCUGAGAUGCUAGGUGUGGGGGAUUUCUAUUACGAGCUGGGUGUCCAGAUUAUUGAAGUAUGCCUGGCCCUGAAGCACCAGAAUGGAGGUCUGAUAACUCUGGAGGAACUGCAUCAACAGGUGUUAAGAGGAAGGGGCAAGUUCGCGCAAGACGUCAGCCAAGACGACCUGAUCAGGGCCAUCAAGAAACUGAAGGCGCUGGGCACGGGCUUCGGCAUCAUCCCUGUGGGCGGCACCUACCUCAUUCAGUCUGUUCCGGCUGAGCUCAACAUGGAUCACACGGUGGUGCUGCAGCUGGCCGAGAAAAAUGGCUACGUGACCGUCAGUGAUAUCAAAGCCAGUCUUAAAUGGGAGACCGAGCGAGCGCGGCAAGUGCUGGAACACCUGCUGAAGGAAGGGCUGGCCUGGCUGGACCUGCAGGCCCCACGGGAGGCCCACUACUGGCUGCCGGCUCUCUUCACGGACCUCUACUCCCAGGAGAUUACAGCCGAGGAGGCCAGAGAAGCCCUCCCCUGACUCCGCGAGUGCGGAAGGGGCCCCCGCGGCAGGCAGGGAGAGGGCGGAGCUGCUGGCGAAUAAAACCUGAAUCACUUUUUUCUUUUUUGAAAA